GAUGAAGAACGUAGUGAAAUGCGAUAAGUAAUGUGAAUUGCAGAAUUCAGUGAAUCAUCGAAUCUUUGAACGCACAUUGCGCCCGCCAGUAUUCUGGCGGGCAUGCCUGUUCGAGCGUCAUUUCAACCAUCAAGCCCCAGGCUUGUGUUGGGGACCUGCGGCUGCCGCAGGCCCUGAAAACCAGUGGCGGGCUCGCUGUCACACCGGGCGUAGUAGAUUUUAUCUCGCUCAGGGCGUGCUGCGGGUUCCGGCCGUUAAAAAGCCUUUUUUACCCAAGGUUGACCUCGGAUCAGGUAGGAAGACCCGCUGAACUUAAGCAUACAAUAAGCGGAGGA
RNAcentral lists this unclassified non-coding RNA (335 nucleotides) under soil metagenome. RNAcentral's name for it is "partial contains 5.8S ribosomal RNA, internal transcribed spacer 2, and large subunit ribosomal RNA". The stretch from base 1 to 120 matches the Rfam family "5.8S ribosomal RNA", at positions 35 to 154 of the family's 154-position model. The record is from RNAcentral.